GUCCACAGCCAUGCUACACUGAACAAGACUGAUGUCUAAUCUCAGAAGCUAAGCGGGUCAGGCCUGGUUAGUACUUAGAUGGAAGACCACCUAGGAAGACCAGGUGCUGUAGGCA
RNAcentral lists this ribosomal RNA (115 nucleotides) under Pteropus alecto (black flying fox). The record is from RNAcentral. Lineage: Eukaryota; Metazoa; Chordata; Mammalia; Chiroptera; Pteropodidae.